Molecule: ribosomal RNA, 314 nt
Filed under: uncultured Anaerolineaceae bacterium
Lineage: Bacteria; Bacillati; Chloroflexota; Anaerolineae; Anaerolineales; Anaerolineaceae
Description: bacterial SSU rRNA
Rfam family: Bacterial small subunit ribosomal RNA
Source: RNAcentral
CAGCUCGUGUCGUGUAGAUGUUCGGUUAAGUCCGCUAACGAGCGCAACCCUCGUCGUAUGUUAUAUGUGUCAUACGAGACUGCCGGUAAAAAGACCGGAGGAAGGUGAGGAUGAUGUCAAGUCAGCAUGACCUUUAUAUCCAGGGCUACACACACGCUACAAUGGUCUGUACAAUGGGUAGCCAAGCCGCGAGGCGGAGCCAAUCCUGAAAGCAGGCCUCAGUUCAGAUUGCAGUCUGCAACUCGACUGCAUGAAGCCGGAGUUGCUAGUAACCGCAGGUCAGCAAUACUGCGGUGAAUACGUUCCCGGGUCUU